GCACAAUGUGCACAUGUACCCUAAAACUUAAAGUAUAAUAAUAAAAGAAAAAAAAACUUAAAAAAAAAAAAAGAUUUUCACUACCUUCUCCACUAGCAGAGAUACAUGUUUGCAUUUUGUUAAAUUACAAGACAUACUUUUUUAAAAUUGUGAAACCCUACAGAGAGAAGGUUUAGGCUGAAUUAAAAACUAAAAUUCAAAUAACUCCUAUUUUUAAAAGAAGUAUUUUUUAAUCUCUAAGUUACCUUCUCUUUCUUCUCUCUGUCUCUCUUACACACACACACACACACACACACACACACACACACACACACACACUCUCUCUCUCUCUCUUACCCAUAGGUUUAUUUUCCUGAGCUUAUUUUCUCAUCUACUUCUUAAACUAAUAUAGACUAUGAAUUUCAUAAGAUAGCUCAAAUUGUUUUCAGAACAAGACAAGAUAAAGAUUAAUAAUAAUAUCAGAACAUUCUGUCUGGAAAGACACAAGAAGCUGCCUUAGCUGUAUUCUCAAGGAAAUAACCUUGAAAAGUUUCAUUACCAUGUAACUGUUUAUCAAGAGAUACAGAAGAGCUUAUUGAAAAGGCACUUCAUCCAAACCUCAGUGAGGAUGACAGUGCUGAUGCUUCCUGGGCUGCUAUUUCCCAUGACCUUGUCCUACCCCAGCCCACCCCAACCCUGCUGUUAACUUUCAAUCUUCAGAAGACUGGGACGGAAAAUGUCAAUGCAGUAUUUUUAAUUUUGGUUUGCAUAAAAAUCACUUGGAAAGAAAUGCUAAAAUGCAGAUUCUAUGGCAACAUUCUUAGAAAUUCUGAUUCAGUUUGUCUGGGGGAGGCUGAGAAUUUGAAUAUUUAGAAGUAACCCUCUGCCCUUGCUCCCAUGAUUCUAACACAUGUGAUGAUGCACACCAAAUUUUGAGGAAUAUGAUUUAAGUAAACUUCUUAAUUGUAUUCAAUGGUAUUGGUAUUUUUGUUAUUGUUGUAGUAACGUAAAAAGUGAAAUUAACCUAAUAAAAAUGUUUCAAUUGUCUGUUUUUAUUUUAAUAAGAUUGACAUAUUUUUGUGUUCUGGUUUUGCUAGCUUCAUUUAAUACAUUGAUGUCUCUUAAAAGAUUUAAAAAAUGAUGUUAACUAUUCAGAAAGCAAAAAAAAAAAUUCUGUUACUUAAGAUUUUAACAUAAUUAGUAGGCAAAAUAAUCUAAUCCUGAGGUUUUGUUUGUUUGUUUGAAGUAAUCCAUACAGAGCAUAUUAUUCUGCUAUGGUUACUGAUCUAACAAAAAUUGCAAAUUGGUUCAGAGAUGGAAGAGUAGCCAAGUUUGGGCAGAACAUAUCAUACAUAAGAGGGUCUAACGGAAUACAGGAAUGGAAAAUUCAUAUGGGACUCGUUCAUGGAGGGCCUUAAAUAGGUAUAGAAUAAAUAGCUAACAAAACAUUUAUAUGUACAUUAUAUCAUUUUAUGUUUAUAAUAGCACCAUGAAAUAGGUAGUAUCUCCAUUCUCAUUUUAUAAAUGAGGAAACCAAGGAUUGGGAUGGAUUUAGAAGAAGGGCUCUGAUUAGGAAACCAAAUCCAAGUAAGUAUCAGUGAGGAAAUACAUCCUUAGGGACAAAGUAAAAUGUUAGAACAGAGCAUCCACAGUGCCUGGGAUCAGAUGAGCAAGGUGGAGUUUUGAAGGGCCUAUGUGAUAGCAGUCUCUUCUGGGUGUUUGGUAUUGGUAGCCUCACAAGGUAGUUUUGCCAUCUCAGAACAUCUUUUGAUGUUUAGUUCGUCUGAUUCUACUUUUUCUAGUUAUUUGACACUUCCCAAGCAGAGGUUCAUCAAGAUGAUUUGACACUUCAAACUUACAUAUUUUAGGGGCUAUCUUUAAGUAAAAGAAUUUCUCAAAAAUCUCAUUUUUGUAACAUUCAUAAAAACAGACCAUGUUAUCACAUUUCUAAUACUCCUCCUAGUAACCUAUGAAAAUGAAGGGACAUUUAACAAAAGUAUAUUUAGCUUCAUAAUAAACCUGUUUCUGCUCUUGGGUAAGAAUUAAAAUUUUGGGCUUGGUGCAGUGGCUCCUGCCUGUAAUCCCAGCACUUAGGGAGGCCGAGGCAGGCAGAUCACCUGAGGACAGGAGCUCGAGACCAGCCUAGAAAACAUGGCGAUACCCUGUCUCUAUUAAAAAGACAAAAAUUAGCUGAGCAUGGUGGUGGGCGCCUGUAAUCCCAGCUACUUGGGAGGCUGAGGCAGGAGAAUUGCUUGAACCUGGGAGGCGGAGGCUGCAGUGAGCCAAGAUUGUGCCCUGCAUUUCAGUCUGGGCAACAGAGUGAGACUCCAUCUCAAAAAUAAACAAAUAAAUAAAUAAUUAAAUUUUAAUAGGAAGUUUCAAGAUGUAGUAGUUAAAGUAUUAACUUACAGAGUGGGAAUUUCAUAAAUCUAGAACUGUAUGAACCUCAAAUUAUGCCAGUAAGGAUGUCAUAACUUUUUACUUAGGGAUCAGCUCUUUCGGACAGUAUCCAGGGUCACUGGUAGAGACUGUGUGUUGUACAAGAGUCAUGGCAGACAUGAUCCCUAGGUCCCUAUUUUCUUCCUUCCUAGAAAUAUAGGCAUGUGUUUCUAUUUCUAUAUGCAUGUAUGUGUGUGUGUUUGUAUCUAUAUAUAUUCCUGUAGAUGUACAAGUGAAGUCAUAGAAAUUUGAAUAGAAAAAAGGGGUAAUUUGUUCUGGAAUUCUCAGGCCAAUGCCUCUAUGUUAGAAAGGUAAAAUAUCUCCUCACUUAUUCAACUGCUAUGGACUAAAUUGUGUCCUGCCCGCCCCCCUCCCCAGUUUCAUAUGUGGAAGCACUAAUCCCUAGUGUGAUGAUAUUUGGAGGUGGGGCCUUUGUAGGGUAAUUAGAGUUACAUGAGGUCAUGAAUGGGGCUUUCAUGAUGGAAUUAGUGGCCUUUUAAGAAGAGACAUCAGAAAACUUGCCUCCUUUUCUCUCUCUCUGCCACAAGAGAAUACAAGAAGGUUGUGGUCUAUAGGCCAAGAAGAGAGCCCUCAUCAGGAAAUGAACCCUGCAAGACCUCAGUCUUGGAUUUCCAGCCUCCAGAACUAUGGGAAAAUCCAUUUCUGUUAGUUAAACCACUCAGUUUAUGGUAAUUUGUUAUGGCAGCCUGAGCAGACUAAGAUACCCAUCAUAUAGCUAAUUUUUGAAAUGAAAUGUGCAAAGAUAGUUGAAUAUAAUAAAAGUACCUUGUGAGAUAUCAAUAAAAAAAAGUCUUCGAAGUGGUUUAAAUCAAUUACUUAUCCACUCUGCUAUGGCAGUUCCAACUUGGAUUUUAUGUUUAUAAUGAUGCAACAGUCUUCAUGGUGACUUCCUGAAUGUGGAUUCUUCUGUAUCCAUGCUGCUACAAAAUUAAUUUUCCUUUAAAACAUAUACAUUUACUUGUAUUCAUUUAUUUAGCUAAUCGCUCAGCUAUUCAUUUGUUUUUCAUUUAUUCAUUUAUUUUGGAGAAUCAAAGGCAAAGAAGUCAUUGUCAGGGACUGGCAGUCUAGUGCAUAUUCACAUAUAGCUAGAAACAAGAUACCUCAAAAUAUACGUAGAUUACACACUGGGAACUAUGCAGCCCAGAAAGGAGAGACAUUCCUUCAGGUUGGGGUGUAGGAAGCUGAGUUUGAGCUGGAUCUUGGUGUCUGAAUGGGAUUUCAACCAGUGGAGAUGAAGAAAAGAGCAAUUCAGAGAUGAAAUAAUACAUUUCGAGGCAUGAGGAAAAAAUAGCAUGUUCUUUAAGGACAAGUACACAUAGUUUGCUUUUAUUAGUUUAGAGUAUAUGUAGGGAAGAUAAAACUGAAAAACUUCUAAAGAUUUAGAAACUUAGAAAAAAACUUACAAAGUAAAGUCACCGACUAAGUUUUCCAGGUUUUGUUCUCCCUUAUCUCUAGGUAAGGGAGAAUAAUUACAGGAUUUUACAGCAUUUUAUUAAGCAGCAGCAAUAACAACAAUUAAAACAGGAACUUGAGUUUUAGAUCUGCUUUCAGAAUGCCACUGCUAGUUCAUUGUUCAUGAGGUCAUUGAAUCAGCAAUAUUGAGAAAGAUGAUGUGAUCCAGGACGCGAUCAUCCUUGAGAUGGUGAAAUGGGAGUAGACAAAAUCACCAAGGGAGAGAACAUAUAGAAAGAGAAGACUAGAGGACUCAGACCAAAACCAUUUCUGAAUGGGGAGUGGGGAAAAAGGAGGAAGAAGUAUUAAGAGAGCAAGAAUUCUACAAAAUCAGGAUGCUAAAGAAAGGGACUUUCAAAAGGGGGGAUUUUAGUCCCGUCCUGCAUUAUAUUUUACAUGUUUUGGGCUUAUCUGUUUUCCUUUUAAAAUAAAAAUAUGUUUCUAUAUUGUUAGGGCAACAGUUGUUAUUGUUACUUUAACAGUGUUCAACACUGUGCUGAAGGUACUGCUAAGGACAUUGUUAGGCAUUUAAUAAUACUUGCUUAUUGAUUAAUUUUUAUAAUAUCCAAAUAAUGAUAAAAAAUCUCACUUAUUACAUUUAUAAUGAGCAGUUCUAGGUGCAUUACAUGGAUCAUUUAUUUAAUCCCCACAAUGAGCAAAUGAGGUAAUGUUCAUUAUUUCAAUGAAGGUAGAAUAAAAACCUAAAAGAAUAAAAACCUAAAAGAUUCUUCACCCUGAAGAAUCUUGAAAUUCACUUUGAAUUUUAAAACUGUGAGUUGAAACUCUUUAUCUCCCUUAUUUUAAAAAAUAUUUUCCAAGUACAUGCUGUGUGAAAAGCGUUAUAUUAGGUAUUUGGGGGGUGCCCAGGGGAGGCUGGGAAGGCAUGCCUGUUAUCCACAUUGUUAGAAAAGUUUUAUUCUCUUUACCUUAACCCUUAACAACCUUCUCUAGAAAGAAAAAAGCUCAGAUUUCACCCCCAACAAGUUUAUUAGAUAGACCAUUUGAAAAAUUAUAAUUGGAGAUUUCCUAAUUUCGAAACUUUAGAUUUAAGGUUGCUAGUUAAAAAUCUUAAUUCAUAGUUUUUAAAAAACAGAAAAUAAUAACAAGUGUUGGUGAUGAUGUGGAGAAACUGGAAACUUGUGCAGUCUCAUUAUUGGUAGAAAUGUAAAAUGGUGCAGCUGCUGUGGAAAACGAUAUGGAGAUUCCUCAAGUAAUUAAAAUAGAAAAACCAUAUAUGAUCCAGCAUUUCCACUUCUGGGUAUACACACAAAAUAAUUGCGAGUAGCGUCUCAAAGAGGUAUUUUUACACCCAUGUUUAUAGCUACAUUAUUUAUAAUGGCCAAAAGGAGGAAGCAACUCAGUGUUCCUUCAUGAAUAAAUGAACAAAAUGUGGUAUAUACAUAACAACGAAAUAUUAUUCUGUCUCAAAAAGGAAGGCAGGUCUGACAUAUGGCACAACAUGGAUGAAUUUUGAGGCCAUUAUGCUAAGUGAAAUAAGCCAGUCACAAAAAAAGACACACACUGUAUUAUUUCAUUUAUAUGAAGUACCUAGAAUAGUCAAAUUCAUAGAGACAGAAAGUAGAACAGUUACUGCCAGGGAAUAGGAGGAGGGGAGAAUCGGAAAUUGUUGUUUAAUGGAUAUAGAGUUUCAGUUUAACAAGAUGAAAAUAGUUUUGGAAAUUGGCUCCACAAUUGUGUGAACGUACUUAAUGCUACUGAAAUGUACAUUUAAAAAUGAUUACAUUGGUAAAUUUUAUGUAUAUUUUACCACAGUUUAAAAACAAGUAAAACAAUUUAACUCAGUUUUUUUAAGUUUGUUUUUAAUUAUUAUGGGUACAUAAUAAGUUUAUAUAUUUAUGGGGUGCAUGUGAUGUUUUGAUACAGGCACAUAAUGUAAUAAUCAAAUCAGAGUAAUUGAGGUAUCCAUCACCACAAAUAUUUAUCAUUUCCUUGUGUUAGAGAAAAGAUUUUAAUUCCACUGUUUUAGUUAUUUAAAAAUACACAAUAAAUUAUUGUUAACUGUAGUCACCCUUUGUGCAAUCAAAUACUAGAUCUUACUCAUUUUAUCUAACUAUAUUUUCAUGCCCAUUAACUGUCCCACUUAAUUCAGUUAUUCUAUAUAAAGUAUAAAUCUAUUUUAUUAUCAGUUUUUCAUAGCCUUUGAACACUGUGUAUCCUAAUACACAGAAAACCCCACUUAUGUUGUGCAGCUUUGGCUGUGUAUAUGGUACACAUACGGAUUCAAAACUCAAAGAAGGAAUUGGCCAUGAACAAAAGAUAAAGUGAAUAAGUGUUUACAUCCCCACGACUAACAAUGUGCUUAACUAUUCAAAAUGGGAACUUCUUAGAAAACUUUAAUUUAGGUUGCCUGAUAAAAAGCCUAUUUUUGACUUGAAAUGAAGAACAAUUAAUUUUACUAAAGGCUUCAGUAGUGAUGAUAAUACAGGACCUGAUUAUACUUUAUAAUGACACCAGAUAAGGUAAUUUUUAAAAUGUUUUAUUGGAUCUAUGAAAGGAUCAUUGUGUGACCUGCAUUAAAAAAAAAUCUACUCUCCAAAGAAUUAUCUGUGGUUAGGCUAUGAUUAUUAGGUCAAGUUAUGUGUUUGAAGUUGAUUAAUCCCUUUCUUGAGAUGAUUGCCGUAACUCUUACUGUUUACAAUUAAUCCCUUCUGUAAUCUGGCCCUGAGUUAUUUUGAUGGUAAAUCUGAGGAUCCAUGCAGUAUUCAUUUCCCAUAUACAGACACAUAAUGGUGGGCAAUAGUCUUGCCAUUAUCUAUGGAUUAAUUCAAAUUUGAUAGAAUUAUCUCUCUCCAGAGAUAGAUUAUGAAAGACUUUUAAGGGAACAGAUUUCCAUACUAACUUUAAACUUAAUCAGCUAUUUCAUAAUUAUUCCAGGACUGCUACAAGGAAUCCCAUGGCUUCUUAUUAUUCAUAGCAGCAAGAAAAAAAAUGUAUGCAACCUUUCUUCAUUUUAGGAGGUGGCAAAAGGUCUCAGAGAUUACCCUUCACAUGCUAAUAUUUCACAAAUCUAUUAUUUUGGUGGAUUGGUAAAGGAAAAGUAACUUUCAAGAGUCUUCAGUAUUCUUUUCUUAUCCUCAAAAGCAUCUUUCAUGUAACUAAAAUUCUUUCAGUGCUUCUGUAGUUAUUGAAAGAGCUUUCAUUCAUAAUGUUACACUAGGGAAAAUAUUGAGUUUUUGCCAUUUGAAAUGGAAAUGUAAAAUAGAGUUUACUGUUUCCACUGCGUUGUUUUAUCCCUUCAACUGUGGUUAAACAACAACUGGACUUUAGAAAGAUUUCUGAGAAAUCACUGGCCACCAUAAAGGACCGUAUAUCCUGUUUUGCUUCCUUCCUAUCUUGAUUUUACUUUCUACUUGCUAAUAAUUUAUAUAUUAAAAUAAUAUCUUCUAAGAAUUAACUUAUUACGUACAACAUGUAUUACUCUCCCUAUGUUUAUGUUUCUAUCAAAUUACAUGCUGCAUUUUUGCUUGAAGUAGGUAAAAUAUUUAAUUGCAUAGGCAUAUAUGACGUCAAUUAGAAAUAUUUUUCAGUUUUUACUCCGGAGGUGUGCUAUGGUCUGAAUGUGUCUCCCUAAAUUAGUAUUUUGAAACUUAAUCACCAAUGUGCUAGUAUUAAGAGGUGGGCUGAGGUGAGGUGAUAACAUCCUAAGGGCUCCUCCCUCCUGUAUGGGAUUACUGCCGUAUAAGAAAGGCUUCACCCUGCAUUCACCCCAUUUUGCCCUUCCCUCUUUCACCAUGUGAGGAUGCUGCUGAGAGAAAACACCAUGGAUGGAAGGGGCCCACAUCAGACGUCAAACCUGCUGGUGCCUUGAUCUUGAACUUCCUGGCUUUGAGAACUGUGACAAAUACAUUUCUGUCCUUUAUAAAUUACCCAGUCUUGGGUAUUUUGUUACAGCAGCACAAAUGGACUAAGACUACCUAAUUCGUGAAGACAUGGGAAGAUUUAUUUUUGUUUUCAGCUGUGCACUACAAGGUGCUUCUAUCGCUUUACCUCUCAGUACUGUAAGCCUAUAGAAAUCAAAGAUUGUCUUUCCCUGUUACAUGUAUUUUAUGAAAACUCCACGGGUUAUUCUGAUGUACAAUCUGAUUGAAGAACUAGUGUGCUAGGAAUGUAUCCCCACAAUAUUCCUGAGAGAAGGAGAGCAUGUGGCUAGUGCUUGUCCAGCAGAAGGGUUCGUGUGUUCACAGCAGGCAGUGCUAAUUGACUGUGGGUUUUCUCCAGAUUAGUCUUUAGCGAUCAUCUCUAGAAGUUACCAUAUUGGCACAAAAGUUGGAACUCAUUUGUCAUCCUUGGCCUAAAAUGUCCUCUAUUUGCACAGCAAUUACAAUCUGUAACUUCAGUUGGACAAAUCUAUUCCAUGUGUUGCUAUAAAGUAAUAUCAAGUGAUAUCACAGUAUUUCAACAAGUUCAUUUUUCAAUGAAUAAAAAUAAUUGAAACUGAUGCUUUUUUCUUUUUCUAAAAUAAUUUUCCUUUUAUUGUCAGUAAUUCAGGCUCCCACUCAGAAAAUCCUUUGUGAGUCAAAUUUGAUAAUACUUCUUUUUUAGUUUCUCUACCUAAAGAGAAUAAUAUUGUCUAGUGAUUAAGCACAUAAACUCUUGUCAUAG
This 8514-nucleotide long non-coding RNA is filed under the name Homo sapiens (human). RNAcentral's name for it is "long non-coding RNA NONHSAT177563.1". The record is from RNAcentral. Lineage: Eukaryota; Metazoa; Chordata; Mammalia; Primates; Hominidae.